This 708-nucleotide ribosomal RNA is filed under the name Bacillus sp. CSu3_37. Its description in RNAcentral is "bacterial SSU rRNA". It matches the Rfam family "Bacterial small subunit ribosomal RNA", at positions 57 to 748 of the family's 1533-position model. Lineage: Bacteria; Bacillati; Bacillota; Bacilli; Caryophanales; Bacillaceae. The record is from RNAcentral.
GCAAGUCGAGCGAAUCGAUGGGAGCUUGCUCCCUGAGAUUAGCGGCGGACGGGUGAGUAACACGUGGGCAACCUGCCUAUAAGACUGGGAUAACUUCGGGAAACCGGAGCUAAUACCGGAUACGUUCUUUUCUCGCAUGAGAGAAGAUGGAAAGACGGUUUACGCUGUCACUUAUAGAUGGGCCCGCGGCGCAUUAGCUAGUUGGUGAGGUAAUGGCUCACCAAGGCGACGAUGCGUAGCCGACCUGAGAGGGUGAUCGGCCACACUGGGACUGAGACACGGCCCAGACUCCUACGGGAGGCAGCAGUAGGGAAUCUUCCGCAAUGGACGAAAGUCUGACGGAGCAACGCCGCGUGAACGAAGAAGGCCUUCGGGUCGUAAAGUUCUGUUGUUAGGGAAGAACAAGUACCAGAGUAACUGCUGGUACCUUGACGGUACCUAACCAGAAAGCCACGGCUAACUACGUGCCAGCAGCCGCGGUAAUACGUAGGUGGCAAGCGUUGUCCGGAAUUAUUGGGCGUAAAGCGCGCGCAGGUGGUUCCUUAAGUCUGAUGUGAAAGCCCACGGCUCAACCGUGGAGGGUCAUUGGAAACUGGGGAACUUGAGUGCAGAAGAGGAAAGUGGAAUUCCAAGUGUAGCGGUGAAAUGCGUAGAGAUUUGGAGGAACACCAGUGGCGAAGGCGACUUUCUGGGUCUGUACUGACACUG